Molecule: long non-coding RNA, 1463 nt
Filed under: Panax ginseng (ginseng)
Lineage: Eukaryota; Viridiplantae; Streptophyta; Magnoliopsida; Apiales; Araliaceae
Description: long non-coding RNA (PGIN_LNC003103)
Source: RNAcentral
GCAAAAUAAAACAACUAAAAUGCAUAAUUAACUAAAUUAGAUAGGAAUUUAGUAACGACAAAAGGACCACAAAUUGAAAGAACCGAAAAUUAAACAAGUGGAGCUCGAUUGUCAACAUUAAAAUUAGAUUUUUGUAAAACUUGAAAAUCCAAAGCACAAAGCAAGGUUGGCCAUGCAAGUUUAGCAACCAAGGAUCAUGGCAACACCCACUCACGGGCAGCCCCGUGUGGGACAAGACAGCAACACAGAGACGCAUAACAACAAAUAAUGGCACCCAAUAUGAAAGACAUAUUAUAUCCUAGAAAGCAAUGUGCAACAAAAGUCAUGGCAACCAUUUGAACAAAAGCCGCACAAAAACUAUGAGCAGCAAACCAGCUGGCGAACAACCAGAAAACCAGCUCGGAGCUUUUAGCUAACUUGAGCAGCUGUAAAUGCUACAUAUUCCCAAGUACAACCAAAAAGCCUAACAAAUAAAUAUGUCAGGUGGUUUUGGUUCCAUAAUCCUUGAGGUUGGUCUAGGAGUAGUUACUUUUAAGCACAACUUGAGAAUAGGAAUAGUAGACAAGGCAACUUUUUGAGUAUGUUGAACCUUUUAAAGCAAGAGCUCGGUCUUGUCAAAAAAAAACUUUUUUCACUGCACUUGAGUCAUGGGUAGAACCCUUAAAACUUGAUAUAACCAAAAUACUAGAAAAUUUCGAGACCUUUUCCUUUCCUUUCACCGUAAUAGGUGAUGGAGUAUUCUUCGAAUAGCAAGGAGCAGAAGAGGGACAAUCCUUCCUUUUUGGCAAUUCCCUCCAUUCAAACCUGGGCUUAGAUUUCAUUUCCUCCUUUAAUUUUCCCCUCACGAGGCUUUAGGGAUAAAGUGGAAUUGGAAUGACCAUAGGUUUUGCAAAGCAUACAUUUCUGCGGCUGCUAAGGAAUAUCAGUAUGAAUUUCAUAAGGAGCAUAAUUCUGAAUUUGAGCUUUAAAAGACUUAGGUAACUGAGUUGUGACUAUAAUAUCAAUAUAAACUCUAGCAAAAGAGAGUUUAUUGCCAAAUUUAGUAGCAUUAUCAAUAAAUAGAGGUUUGCCAAAAUGACUAGCAAGAUAGGCAAACCCAUCAUUGUGCCAAAGUGGGAGUGGGACAUUAUAAAAAUUGACCCAGAUAAGAACAAUUGUAGGAUCACAUUUAAGAAUAUCCAUACCCGCUUGCCCUCUUUGGAGGAUCAAAAGAGAUUUACCAAAGUAAGUAUGCCCACGAGCAGCAAUUGGAAUAAGGUCUUCCUCCGUCUUGAAACAGAAGAAAUAAAGGCCAUUUCCUUUAAAAUUACACCUUUGCUACAUUAUCACCCCAAAUCUGUUUUGACCAAAAGGUAGCAUAAUGAAUAGACUUUUUCCCUCUAAUAAAAUAGCCCACGGUAGAAAGAGACCAAGAAGUGAUCAUGGGUUGUGAGAUUUCAGAAGGUAUAACAACAUAUCAUGAU